This is a long non-coding RNA of Etheostoma cragini (Arkansas darter), 730 nucleotides long. RefSeq lists it as uncharacterized. The transcript is spliced from 4 exons. The record is from RefSeq and is a predicted model, not a curated record. Lineage: Eukaryota; Metazoa; Chordata; Actinopteri; Perciformes; Percidae.
GAUGCCAAAUUGUCUCUUGUCUGCAUAUACUGUAUAUUGAUUAAUAUUAACGGUCUCUAGGCUGUCCGUCUAUAAAUUGCCACUGAAAUUGAUAAUUUGGUCCAGAAGGUGGCAGUAGUUCACCAAUGUGCAUGUCAGCUGCAGUACAUUUUCAAAGAAGAAGUGCAGUCCUGUCUUUGGUUGUAAAGUGACCUCUGGUUGUUAGCUUGCUGUAAAACUAUGGCGCCUCCAGUUGCAGUGUCGCCUUUGAUUAAGACGGCAAGGUAUUCAGCUUUGAUUGCUGGCAUCCUCUAUGGCAAAAAAAGAUAUGAAAACCUGAAGCCAAUUGCAGCUGAGGAGAGGAGGAUUGAGGAGGAAGAGAAAAAGGUUCGCGAAGAGCAGGAGCGCAUCGCCAAGGCGCUUGCAGAAGCAAGUGAAGAUACUAUUCUGAAGUAAAGCUGGUGUGCAGUCUGAGGAUGUCAAUGUGCAAUUCCCAACAUCUCCUUCCUUUUCCUGGAGUAACAAUGGCAAAGGCGGGUCCCAAGCAGUCAACCACUCCCGUGUUGUAGACCCACUCCCUUUUACCUUGUAUGAUACAACUCUAUAGAAUGCCAGAGUGACUAUAAACUAGUUACAUGAUCUAAAAUAAAAGUUUUUGGACUCCUUAUUGUAGCACUGCAAAUGCAGCUGCAUAAGUAAUAAUGUUCAUGUUUGUAAUGAAAUGUCAUAAAUCCAAAAGUACAUGACCACU